RNAcentral lists this ribosomal RNA (253 nucleotides) under uncultured bacterium. Its description in RNAcentral is "partial 16S ribosomal RNA". It matches the Rfam family "Bacterial small subunit ribosomal RNA", at positions 524 to 776 of the family's 1533-position model. The record is from RNAcentral.
UACGUAGGGUGCUAGCGUUAAUCGGAAUUACUGGGCGUAAAGCGUGCGCAGGCGGUUUUGUAAGUCUGACGUGAAAUCCCCGGGCUCAACCUGGGAAUUGCGUUGGAGACUGCAAGGCUAGAAUCUGGCAGAGGGGGGUAGAAUUCCACGUGUAGCAGUGAAAUGCGUAGAGAUGUGGAGGAACACCGAUGGCGAAGGCAGCCCCCUGGGUCAAGAUUGACGCUCAUGCACGAAAGCGUGGGGAGCAAACAGG